GCAAAGUUUUAUUCUAGCUUGGAAUUUGGAUCAAAUUUGAUUUUACAUGCAAGUUUUAGCAUUAAAGUAUAAUUUAAAUAAUUGUAUUUAUUUUGUUGCAGUGAAUAAAUUUAAUUUUCAACGUUAGUUGGAUUUAGAUAUGAUGUUUUAAUACUGACAAAGUUUGUGCCAGCAGUUGCGGUUACACAGACAGUAUUAUUCAAAUUUUUCGGUUAUAGUUAAUUUGUUUAUUUUCUUAACAUUAUAGUUUAUUAGGUGAAAUUUUAAAUUAUUAGAAGGUUUAUUUAAUAAAAUGAGGCUGAGAAACUCCAAUUUAAACUAGGAUUAGAUACCCUAUUAUUAGGAGCGUGAAUUUUGUUUGCCUGAUUAUUAGUAGUUUUGUUCUUGAAAAUUAAAGAUUUUGGCGGUACUUUAGUCCAUUCAGAGGAACCUGCCCUAUAAUCGAUGGUCCACGAUUUUAUCAACUUUUUUUACUAGUUUAUAUAUCGUCGUAGUUUGAAUAUACUAGAAGGUAGAUAAUGUUCAAAAUUCUUUUAGGAAAAAAAUCAGAUCAAGGUGUAGCUAAUAAAAAAGAAGAGGUGGGUUACAAUAAAAAUAUUUUAAAGGAUCAGUAUGUUUGGAUAUACGGGGAAUUCGGAUUUGAAAGUAAUUUAGAUUAAAUUAUCUGGAUGAUUUAGGCUCUAGAGUAUGCACAUAUCGCCCGUCGCUUUCACCCCAAGGUGAAAUAAGUCGUAACAUAGUAGGCCUACCGGAAGGUGGGCCUGGAUAGAC
This 771-nucleotide non-coding RNA is filed under the name Archetypus frenchi. The record is from RNAcentral. Lineage: Eukaryota; Metazoa; Arthropoda; Insecta; Coleoptera; Cerambycidae.